Molecule: unclassified non-coding RNA, 157 nt
Filed under: uncultured fungus
Lineage: Eukaryota; Fungi
Description: sequence contains ITS1
Source: RNAcentral
GUAUUUCUUCGAUACGAUAUAAUAUAUCAGGCAAACACUUUGCACUAUCCCCCCCCCCUCAUUCAUUUUUGGUUGCGAUCGUUUGUUUGAAGAUGCAGAAAACACCUUGUGCAUACAGCGCUCAAUGAUGAUCCCUCCGCAGGUUCACCUACGGAGA